This 482-nucleotide ribosomal RNA is filed under the name uncultured bacterium. Its description in RNAcentral is "partial 16S ribosomal RNA". It matches the Rfam family "Bacterial small subunit ribosomal RNA", at positions 30 to 507 of the family's 1533-position model. The record is from RNAcentral.
AUUGAACGCUGGCGGCAUGCUUUACACAUGCAAGUCGAACGGUAACAGGCCGCAAGGUGCUGACGAGUGGCGAACGGUUGAGUAAUGCAUCGGAACGUGCCCAGUCUUGGGGGAUAACUACUCGAAAGAGUAGCUAAUACCGCAUACGAUCUAUGGAUGAAAGCGGGGGACCGUAAGGCCUCGCGCGAUUUGAUCUGCCGAUGUCAGAUUAGGUAGUUGGUUGGGUAAAGUCUCACCAAGCCAACGAUCUGUAGCUGGUCUGAGAGGACGACCAGCCACACUGGGACUGAGACACGGCCAAGACUACUAAGGGAGGCAGCAGUGGGGAAUUUUGGACAAUGGGCGCAAGACUGAUCCAGCAAUGCCGCGUGCAGGAAGAAGGCCUUCGGGUUGUAAACUGCUUUUGUACGGAAAGAAACGGCUCUGGUUAAUACCCGGGGCUAAUGACGGUACCGUAAGAAUAAGCACCGGCUAACUACGUG